AACGAACGCUGGCGGCAUGCCUAACACAUGCAAGUCGAACGAGACCUUCGGGUCUAGUGGCGCACGGGUGCGUAACGCGUGGGAACCUGCCCUUGGGUUCGGAAUAACUCCCCGAAAGGGGUGCUAAUACCGGAUAAUGUCUUCGGACCAAAGAUUUAUCGCCUUUGGAUGGGCCCGCGUUGGAUUAGCUAGUUGGUAGGGUAAAAGCCUACCAAGGCGACGAUCCAUAGCUGGUCUGAGGGGAUGAUCAGCCACACUGGGACUGAGACACGGCCCAGACUCCUACGGGAGGCAGCAGUGGGGAAUAUUGGACAAUGGGCGAAAGCCUGAUCCAGCAAUGCCGCGUGAGUGAUGAAGGCCUUAGGGUUGUAAAGCUCUUUUACCCGGGAUGAUAAUGACAGUACCGGGAGAAUAAGCUCCGGCUAACUCCGUG
This 433-nucleotide ribosomal RNA is filed under the name uncultured bacterium. RNAcentral describes it as "partial 16S ribosomal RNA". It matches the Rfam family "Bacterial small subunit ribosomal RNA", at positions 29 to 507 of the family's 1533-position model. The record is from RNAcentral.